Molecule: long non-coding RNA, 1006 nt
Organism: Nicotiana attenuata
Lineage: Eukaryota; Viridiplantae; Streptophyta; Magnoliopsida; Solanales; Solanaceae
Exons: 2
Source: RefSeq, a predicted model, not a curated record
UCUAUUUUCCUUCUAAUCUAAUGGCCAUCAUCCCUUCCCACUUCCAUAUAAAAUACCCAAUUAUAGAAACCCUACCCUAAGUUUUUCAAUCCCUACACCUAGACUACAAAAAAGACGGCAGCCAUGAAUCUUUGAAUCCUAUAAUUCAAAAGAGAAGCGGCAGAAACUUUGAGCAUGAAACUGAUAUGGGUGUGAUCUGAAUGGUUGUUCGAGGUUCUGUCACGUUCGUGUCCCUGUUGGCUCUUUGUUCGCUGCUCAAUUCCUUGGUCAGAUUCUCGUUUGCUUCUCAACUGAAUAGAAAUGUAAACUCGGAACUCCAUUAAUCGGAAAGUUAUCGCUCUUUGAGCCUUUCAGCAAUACAUAGGGAUUCUAGAAAGGUAUGUACCUGGAAGUUGUAAAUAAGAAGGAAAAGGAGAGAUCAGCAGCAGUAGAUGACAAGCAACAGUAUUAAACACAGCAGCAGGGACAAUUGCAGGUUCAACACAACUUCACAAAGCUCAGGAAUGAGUUACAGAGGAUCAACAGGAGCUAAUCGAUCAAAAACAAGCUUGUUUGACCUCAAGUUUACUCGAAAUUGAACUAGGAAGUUACAGAACACCUUCAGCACUCAAAAACACCCAGCAACAGCUCGAAUAAAUCCCAAACACCUUCAGAUGCUUUAAACCUUCGCGUACAGAACAGAAACAGAGAAAUCCGAGCUAAUUCCGAUCCUAAAUGAGCUAACCAGUUGAAUUAAGAGCUGAAAUUUGAGAAAUGAUCUAAGGAAGAUCAAUGUAACAGUUUUUUUUUGUAUUUUUCUGUGGCUUUUGUGUAUAUUUUUUGUUUUGGAGAUUUUCUAAGAUAAGAAAGAGAAUUUCAGAUCUAGUGUUUGAAUCUGAAAUUCAAAUUUAGCUUCUGGAAACUAAGACUAUUUUGGGGGGAAUUUUUGGGGUUCCAAACUUGUGAAUCAAGGCACUAGACAUGCCUUUUAUAGUCAUAAAUGAGGGCAACCCUCAGAUUUUCAGUU